GACGAACGCUGGCGGCGUGCCUAAUACAUGCAAGUUGAGCGAUGAAGAUUGGUGCUUGCACCAAUUUGAAGAGCAGCGAACGGGUGAGUAACGCGUGGGGAAUCUGCCUUUGAGCGGGGGACAACAUUUGGAAACGAAUGCUAAUACCGCAUAAUAACUUUAAACAUAAGUUUUAAGAUUGAAAGAUGCAAUUGCAUCACUCAAAGAUGAUCCCGCGUUGUAUUAGCUAGUUGGUGAGGUAAAGGCUCACCAAGGCGAUGAUACAUAGCCGACCUGAGAGGGUGAUCGGCCACAUUGGGACUGAGACACGGCCCAAACUCCUACGGGAGGCAGCAGUAGGGAAUCUUCGGCAAUGGACGAAAGUCUGACCGAGCAACGCCGCGUGAGUGAAGAAGGUUUUCGGAUCGUAAAACUCUGUUGGUAGAGAAGAACGUUGGUGAGAGUGGAAAGCUCAUCAAGUGACGGUAACUACCCAGAAAGGGACGGCUAACUACGUG
This 497-nucleotide ribosomal RNA is filed under the name uncultured bacterium. RNAcentral describes it as "partial 16S ribosomal RNA". It matches the Rfam family "Bacterial small subunit ribosomal RNA", at positions 28 to 507 of the family's 1533-position model. The record is from RNAcentral.